AGCGAACGCUGGCGGCAGGCCUAACACAUGCAAGUCGAACGAACCUUUCGGGGUUAGUGGCGGACGGGUGAGUAACACGUGGGAACGUGCCUUUAGGUUCGGAAUAACUCAGGGAAACUUGUGCUAAUACCGAAUGUGCCCUUCGGGGGAAAGAUUUAUCGCCUUUAGAGCGGCCCGCGUCUGAUUAGCUAGUUGGUUGAGGUAAUGGCUCACCAAGGCGACGAUCAGUAGCUGGUCUGAGAGAAUGAUCAGCCACAUUGGGACUGAGACACGGCCCAAACUCCUACGGGAGGCAGCAGUGGGGAAUCUUGCGCAAUGGGCGAAAGCCUGACGCAGCCAUGCCGCGUGAAUGAUGAAGGUCUUAGGAUUGUAAAAUUCUUUCACCGGGGACGAUAAUGACGGUACCCGGAGAAGAAGCCCCGGCUAACUUCGUG
RNAcentral lists this ribosomal RNA (434 nucleotides) under uncultured bacterium. RNAcentral describes it as "partial 16S ribosomal RNA". It matches the Rfam family "Bacterial small subunit ribosomal RNA", at positions 29 to 507 of the family's 1533-position model. The record is from RNAcentral.